AGAAUUUCUACCCAUGAAAUGGCGCUUGUGCCUGAGGGCAUGAGCCAUGGGGGCUCAGUUCUUGGAUUAUGGAAUGCUCCUCCAUGGGCUCCCCAUGGCCCCUACCCAGCGUGGCGCAUGGGAGAGCAGCAGAGGUGACCCCAUGAAGUGACCACCACGAGCCCACCUCAGCGGAAAAGGUUUUGGGCCACCAUGAAGUGACCACAACGAGCCCCCCCUCAGCCUCGGGAGCUGCGGAUCCCUUUGGCAGGAUCCCAGUCCUGCCCCCUCUGAAAUUUGGGGGGUUUUGGAGCCAAUCUGUGAAUCCUGAGACAAUCCCAGGUGACAGCCGCAGGACACACCUGGAGCCAGGUGCAGCAGGAGUGGGGGGCUCAGCUCUUGGAUCAUGAAAGUAUUACCAACACAAAUAAAAACUGCUUUUUUUG
This 425-nucleotide long non-coding RNA is filed under the name Taeniopygia guttata (zebra finch). Its description in RNAcentral is "lncRNA (ENSTGUG00000025767.1)". The record is from RNAcentral. Lineage: Eukaryota; Metazoa; Chordata; Aves; Passeriformes; Estrildidae.